Cinara cedri is the source of this 305-nucleotide non-coding RNA. The record is from the annotation of a GenBank genome assembly. Lineage: Eukaryota; Metazoa; Arthropoda; Insecta; Hemiptera; Aphididae.
UAAGUCUAUACAUAAUAAUAAUAAUUUCUUUGUUUCAACUGCUCCAUACAAUUUGUCUUAGGGGUUAAAUUUGCAUGCGUUCGCUAAUUACCACGAAGGUAGCGAUAGCAGAGAAAAAGGAGUGGGUGUUCGAAACAAUAACAAUUGUCUGGCGCCGGGACCCUUUCGUUUCCCUAUCAGGUCCUAGUGACAGGAAGAAGGUGUGGUUAGACUACUCAGUAUCCACCGUAUACGGUUUAUGAAAAUCGUACAAGCCCUAUACCGACAGUAAGCGCAUAUUGUUACCUAACAAUAUUAUUAUGUUU